GACAUCAGUAUAAUAAGCCCAACGGGAGAAUGAUAUGGCAAUUUCUAAAUUUCCUAGAAGGAUCGCUCAGGAGGAUGGGCUUGAGCAGGCUGCCUUCCAUGUCACACCACCACUGGGCACAUUUUGUUUUUUGGCAACUGCCCCAACAGGGUAAGUAAACUAAAAUUCCCCAAAGAAAACUUACUGAUGAAAGCCAUUCAGAGUUUCAUAGUAUUGCUAAGAAAUGUUCUUUUUUAAUCUUAAGGCGGAAAAAGAAAAUAUCUGAGUGAAUAUCCAAUUUUACGUAUUUGUUUAUAUAAAAUAGUAUCCAGCAAUGUAAACUGCUUUGUUUAGGUAUGUGUAAGAAUGGGAUCCUUGAGGAAUUAUGAAGCAGUUUUGUAAAUUAUCAGGCAAGUCUGCUGUUAUUGGAGACAGUUCCUCCUCUGACCAGCUUGGCUUAAUCUGGAUCCCACAAGGCAGCAGUCUUUCCUAAGCUUCACCUAUUCUGAUUUGCCAAAUGCUUUUCUUAAUCAUCUGGUGCUACCAGAUGUCAGAAUUCCCUGCUGCUAUCUCUAGUAUUGGUAGUCUCUCACUUGUGGUAAAUAUAGCUCAUGUUGAUUCAGUUGGCUUGUGUUCUGAACAGCUGGAUGGGUAUCAGGGGGCUUGGGAAAGAGGCUGAACUCGUCCUGAAGAGUCCUGAGAGACUUGGUCACAGCUGAAAGAUUGAGUGCCUGAAAGAGCCCAAAUAACCACAAAGCUUGUAUCUUACAUAAAAUUUCCCUAUAAAAUGGAAUCCUUCCGCCCCCAUUUCUAGGUAAGCUUUAUCUGUGCUUGCAACGUGAUAUGGAAGGCUGACACUUACCCUCUGUGUCCCUUCAUUAUAAAUUACCACUAUGGAAAUAUUCAUCACAACCCUUUUUCUUCUUAACAAGAUUUGCCUGGGUCAUCUGCUCCUCUGGUGAUCUCACUGCGUGGUUCUUGGAUGCCCUCAUUAGUAUCGCUUGAGUUGCCUGUGACAAAUAUAGAUUCCAGGGCUUUUCUCAGAUUAUUAGAAUCAGAAUCCAAAAUUUUAAAGUAGCUCUCAUUAAUUGAGCACUAACUUGUGCCAGGCUAUGUUCUGUGUACUAUUAUACGUAAUAUGCUAUUAUGUAAUGUAUAACACAUGACUAUAUUGUUAUAUCUGGUGUCUUCUGAGUUACUGAGAAACCAAAGACACAGCUCCCCAAAGUGAGAGAUGCCUGUCGCCCAUCCUACAAAGCUAGGCUGUCCAAUGGGACAUGUGUUUAGAAUCCAAGUUCUGAGAACCUACAUUUUAAACAAGCUUCCUGGAUAUUUUUAUGUACACUAAAUCUGAGAACUACAUGCAUAAAUUCAGCUCCAGGAAGUUAGGAUUCAGGUCUAUUUUGUUCCCUGUGGUAUAUUCAGCACAUAACAAAAUAUCUGGCAGGCAAUAGUGUUUUAUUUUAUUUUUAAAAUAAAACGUACAACUAAUUCUCAAAUAUUCCUUCCUUUUUAUUUUGAGGAUCCUUCUAAAUGGUGGAAAGACAAAUAUACUACAUUCUGUAAAGUAAAAGACAGAUAAUCUUGUUUUUAGAUGUAUUUUCAACUUUUGUAAAAUGGCUCCUGUGAGUAGAUUAUCUUGCUUGCCAAGAGCCUAUUUUUACAAGUGUUUUUCAAUUUACAUCACUGGGUAACUCUACAAGCAUCAUAGCUUUGCUGAAGUAACGUUAGAAAUGAAGCAAACAAUAGGGUUGGGUGUCUUCUGAGUUACUGAGAAACCAAAGACACAGCUCCCCGAAGUGAGAGAUGCCUGCCCCCCAACCUGCAAAGCUAGGCUGUCCAAUGGGGCGUGUGUCUAGUACAUAAUUCUCCUGGAAGAAUUAGCAGAGCGAGUUGAGACUUUCAAUUCAGCACCUAUAGAAUUCAAUAGCUCAUGAAGGACUGUGUUUUCUAGAAAAAAAAAAUGGGAUGGGGAACAGGGUAGAGGAAUUUACUCUCAAGAAGAAAUGCUUUUGACAUGUUUUUCUAACCUCCAUCAGCUGACCUUUUCCAAGAAAAGAAAUACAUUUAAUUUGAUUUCCAGAUUUGUGAUCUACACAACUUAUUUAUAGUUACUUCGUCCUCCAGGCCUGAAGAAUUUAGAAUAUAAUAGAAGUGGCAAUGUUAAAAUCCCAAAAUCAAGCCUUAAUAAACAUAGAAGCUUGUGGGCAUUCCUGGCUAGAGAUUAAUUUGGCACUAUUUCAAACUAAUAUUCUUGAAAAUUUUAAAGUAUCUGUCAUUAAUUGAGCACUACUUGUGCCAGGCUGUGUUCUGUGUACUAUUAUACGUAAUAUACUAUUAUAUGUAACUUACUACUAUAUCAUAACAUUCUAUUAUUUGUACUAUUAUAUGUACUGUUCUAUGUACUGCAUGAGUACAUUUAACCUUCUCAACAUUUCUAUUCAUAAUGUACAGUUAUUUUCAGAUAAGGAAAUAAAAGCAAUGAGAAGUUAAAUUGUCCAGCACCCUCCUCCUCCUAUGUGGUCAUGUGACCCCCAGAGAUUCCAACUCAGGCACUCUUAGUUCUGCUACUCUAGUGAAGGGCAGGGAACGAGUCUCCUGGGAGGUAGUUCUAAUGCCUGUGCUCCUGGGAACCUAACUGAAGCCCUGCCACUGCUCAUUUGUCUCCCCUUUCUAAAAUCAUCUAUUACUCCAGCCUGCUUUUUUUUUCUUAGUGGGUGAACAGGGUUUCUCUACCAAUUUCCCCCAGGGGCUUGUUACAUAUUCCUUUUAUUAUACUUACUAUUCUCUGAGGUGACUUCUGGUAAAUUCAACUUUCUUCAUUCCCUAAUAUUGCCAGUGAAGCUUUCACAAACCGUAUAGUAUAGUAUUCUGUGCUGGGUUAAAAAGCUGCCCCCCCCCCAAAAAAAAAAAAAAAAGCAUUUAAACCUAACUGCCCUUAAAGUCAAGGCAAGCUUGAGACAUUUUGAUGCAAGACCCUAUUCCUAAUGGUCACAAGGAAUACUGAAUGAACGCUGGCAAAUGAGAGGACGGGAGAAUUGUUUUGGGUUGAUAUGGAUGCAGAACGGUAAUGUGGUUGGUUUGUGUUUUUUUCCUAAUUAGCCUACUUAGUGAGGGAUUCAUAUUAGACAGUCCUGAACAAUCGAUAUCCUUAGAAGAUACACCAAAGAGGAUAUAGCCCUGCAGGGAAGGCUUCCACUGUCCUUUCUGCAUGCAAAUGCAAGAUUCUGAGGCCUAGCGAUUUCAAAAUGGGCAACUGACAAACAGACUUUAUACUUGUAGUAUAAUAGACUUGAAGAAACCUCCAUUGACUCCAAUUUUAAAGAUGAUUUUCAUUGCUGAUGUACAUGUUUCUGGCAUUUCCCACCCUCUCUGAGAUAAGUCUGAAAAAUAGGAAAGAAGGAAGUUUGGUUUUCUAUGAAAACACAGUUCCACAUAAACUACAGAACUUUUUUGAAGUGCCAAAUGCACACUUAGCCUGAAUCUAGUAAUUUGAUUCUCCUGGCCAAAUCUACUUGCCAUAAAUAUUCUCAUAACAAUAGCCAGCCAAGUGUGUUUGAAAAGUAGCAGUUAUCUCUGGUUUGAGUGCUGUGUCUUUAGGUUCUUGGGAACUGUAGGUAAUAUCCAACAGUAAUGUACUUGUAACUGUAUCCAGUAUCAUUACUGAAAUUUAAAUUUACUUUAUGCUAAGAAUUGAUUUUUAAAUAUCCCUCAUCAUAAGGACUGGUUGUAGAGACACUAGAGAAUCAUGAUGUUGACUGCUUUAACCAAUACUGAGCACCCACUGUAUACUAAGCUUUGUAUAAUUUUUGGUGCUACCGUACUAGCUUGAGUUAAAUAUGGUCUAGACUCAGUUCCUAAGGAGUUCAUGGAAAUGGAUGUGUAAAUGAAAUGGUUUCAGGAAAGAUCAAGGAAAGCUUCACAGAGAAAGUAGCACUUCCACAGGGUUUCAAAAAGUAAGUUUGCAUUCUCCAGGUAGAUCUAAGGAAGAAAGAGGAGGAAUAAAAGCACUUGAGUGCCAAUCACAGUAAUGUGAGUGGGGGAGGCCUAUGAGGCUAAGGUCAAUGGGAUUUGUGAUAGAUGCUGGGAGGAAAAUCUAGAAAGGGAAUUUGAAGGGUCUUGAAUGCCAUAUGAAUGAGUUCAGAUUUUGCCUGUAGGCAAUCGAGAAACACUGAAAGGCUUUAAUCAGUGUAGUGACAUACUUACAUUAAGGUUUUAGAAAGAUUACUCUAGUGGCAGUAGAAGCAGAAAUUGUGGUGGUCAUGCUGAAGACUGAGUGAGUGCUUAAAGGAUUAUAAUUAUACUUAUAAAUGAUAUAAUCAUAAUAAAAUGGUUUACAUGAGAGAUAAUAUUAAACAGAAGAAAAUUUUAGUAAUAAAGAUGGAAAGGACAAAAGACAUUUGAGACAUUUGACUCCAGUUUCUUAAAUUAGUGGAUGUUCAAGUUUUUUUCAAGCAUUUUAAUCUUCUAACCCUCUAAGAAGACUUAUCUGAAAUACUUAUAUAUUAAAUGAAUAAGUUGUAUUUUGUUAAUAAAUGUAAUAUGGAAAUUCAAACAUGUAUUUACUUAUAUAAACUCAAUUACUAAAAUCAAUGUAGCUGAUUUACUACAGACAAAUUUGCUAAUAAAUUCUAUGAUUAUAGAUGAGAAUUACUGAACUUUAUCCGUAUUAACAUAUAAUUUAUUGAAUAUAUUUUAACUUGCAUAUACAGGAUUCUUAAAAAUAAGUAGUUACAAAGGGGUAAAUGAUCAUUGCUUUACAAAAAUUAGGUAACUUUGAAACAUUAGAUACCUCCAAUUACAUUGGUUUGGAAGCUUGAAGGACCAGUAUUUGAAAUGCUUGUGUCAAAAAUGUAUCAUUAAUAAUAUUGAAAAAUGCUUGAACUCUCUAUAAUAAAUGUGAAAGUCUGAAAUGGAGUGCUUAAAAUAUAAAAAUAUUAAUUUAUCUAUGAUAUUAUAUUCUUGCUGUGUGAUGUAUUAUGCAUUCACUUGUUAUCGCACAACUGAUUUUGGGCUAGGAGUAGUACAUUCCCUGAAGGAGUGCUCCUAAGUCUUGCCAGCAUUUGUUUGAGAGUAGCACACAUAAGCUUUAGUAAUAAUCUUUCUUGCACAUUUCUAUGUGAACAGACAUGGGCAAGUCUGAUUUCCAAGAACGGCUAAUGUAGAAUGAUUCUCUUCCUAAUCAAUGGUCAUUUGUCUGGGGUGAGUUCUAGAAUUGGUAUUUUUAAAGAGUGCCCUACAUGAGUCUUUCAUGAGGCCAGUAUUGGAAAGCCCAGUUCUUUCUGGCCAGCCUUAUUUUGGGUGCCAGAGAGACAUAUGCAGUGGGAGAGAAAAAUAAAGGCUAAUUCUAUAUGUUGCCUAAGUGCUAAGAAAAACAAAACAAAAAAUGGGACAGCAUAUAAAAUACUAUGCUGGCUUGAUACAUGAGUAAUUAAAUCUGAUGUUGGUAUUAUUCUGAUAAAGUUACAGUGAUUAUAAUUUUGGAGAAGGAGGGAGAGGCUUUCAGUGGAUUCCUGAAAGUGAUGAUGGUUGAGCUGGGAGUAGGUUUCUCUCAGUGGAGAGGAAAUAGUAUGAAUAAAAGUACGACAUUUUGAGAUGUAGGUAGUCAUCCUCUGGUUUUGAUACUGGGCAAAGAUGCUUAGGCACUUCAGAGGUUUUCUGGCCCAUCUUUCUAAUCCUGAGCAUAACUUCCCAGAAUGGAUCUAUGGUGUCUCUCAUGGCACCCCGUGUAUACUGGGAGGCCUAGGUUUUCUCAGUAACUUCCUUAUAAUUAUAAAGAGCAUUAACUCUUUAAGAUAAUGCAUGAGUAGAUAUAAUUUCAUAAAUGGAAUUGGUAGAGCUUGAAAAGUUAAUGCACUUUCCCAAGUUAGCAUCUUAGUUACUUUUCAAAAGCAGGACAAAAACCAUUGCUUGUCAGAGUAAGAUAUAAAGCAAAGAACUCUUUUUCCCCAUGAGGUCUAAUAGAGCAAAUCACCUACAAGGAAGACAUUAUUUUUUGCCUGAAUGGUAGGAGCGUGUGGUGAGUCAUGAAUCAAUAAAAACAUUACCAUAAGCUAUUUAGUGAUUCAUCUCUUUCUUAUUUCUAAAAUAGGCUUCAAACAGAAGAACAUUUUACUUAUAUCCUCAGAUUGUGCUCUGAGAUGCGCUUAUAAAAUUCUAGGGUCAAACUCUACAUUUGACUGCUAGAAUAAAAUUCCCAUUGAUGCAAAACUUCAGGAAAUUUGUGGUUUGCAGAAGAAAGGUAAUAAUACUCGUUUCUCUGCUUCCAUUUGAGAAAGUUUUUAGAUUUUCUUUCCUCUGUAAUUAAGUGAAAUUGGAUCUUACUUUUCAUACUUUACUAUUUUUGAAAAGCAGAUUGCUAAAUGUGGCAAACUGUAUUUUCCAAAAAUGGCCAAAGCAAUAUUCCCAGGACAAAGUGUUCUAGAACUUUACCAUUCCUCUGUCAAGAAGAAGAGUCUAUUUCCUUUCCCAUUGACACUAGGAAGGCCUUGUGACCACGUAGAUUAAAAGAAUGUGUAUGAGUGACACAGUGUGUCUGUUUCUCUACUCUUCUCUCUUGACCUUGGGUGGACCUUUUUGACCACCCCUGUGAAUAAAAUGCAGUGAAAGUAAUGCUUGUGAGGUUCAGGCAGAAAAAGUCGUACAGCGUCUGCGUGGUUCUCUCACUCUUGGGAAGCUUGCCCUUAGAAUUCAGCCACCAUGUUGUGAGGAAGCAGAGGCCACAUGGAGGGCCCACAUGUAUAUGUUCUGGUUGACAAGCCAGCUAUUGUCCUGGCUAACAGCUA
This 6764-nucleotide long non-coding RNA is filed under the name Homo sapiens (human). RNAcentral describes it as "non-protein coding lnc-MMRN1-12:1". The record is from RNAcentral. Lineage: Eukaryota; Metazoa; Chordata; Mammalia; Primates; Hominidae.